RNAcentral lists this transfer RNA (70 nucleotides) under Myoviridae sp. ctq9w2. Its description in RNAcentral is "tRNA-OTHER". It matches the Rfam family "tRNA". From Rfam's summary of the family: Transfer RNA (tRNA) molecules are approximately 80 nucleotides in length. Their secondary structure includes four short double-helical elements and three loops (D, anti-codon, and T loops). RNAcentral also lists the same sequence under 1 other name. Lineage: Duplodnaviria; Heunggongvirae; Uroviricota; Caudoviricetes. The record is from RNAcentral.
GGGUAUUCAGCUCAGUGGCAGAGCACAUGGCGUCAUACAUGAUGCAGAGGUUCGAUUCCUCUGGUACCCA